This is a non-coding RNA of Paramuricea clavata, 132 nucleotides long. Lineage: Eukaryota; Metazoa; Cnidaria; Anthozoa; Malacalcyonacea; Plexauridae. The record is from the annotation of a GenBank genome assembly.
UAACUCAAGUUUCCAAUAAAUCGCAGUUUUUAUUAAAAUUUUCGCGUUUUUAAAAUCGUUGCGACCCUUGCAAUGCGGUUCUUGCGACAAUUACGAUUUAAUAAAAACUGCGAUUUAUUGGAAACUUGAGUC